CUGGGCUGAGCUGGGUCACUGUGAGUCAACAUGCCCGAGUGCUGUGAACGUUAUGAGAGGGCCUUGUUGGGAACACGUGCUCCUGGGAAUCAGCCCUUCCCUCUGUCCUGUUCCCACUCCUCCCCGACGAUGCUCCUGCUCAGAACCCACUCCUCACCUCAGUGAAGCAACGCAGCGGGCACCCUGUGGACAAAGCUGGAUAUUGGCUCUGAAUAAAAGCGAAUCAUGGGGAAAAUCAGUGUCUCAGUAAAAUGGGGUUUUCUUAGUAGAGACCAGACUGUGAAGGACCUUGCUUCAUUCCAUCUUUGAGGAGGAUGAUGAUUCAGGGACAUUGGCCCAAGAUCAAAGUGGUAUUUUUAGGUUGUAUUUACUUAGCUAUUUGCCGUCUACCUCCUUAUUUCCAGGUAGCAACUUCCUUCUUAUAUCUGAGAUGUUUAAGAGAUGAUGAAACCAGCUUGCACACACUUCUCAAAGUGUGUUUGUUCGCAUCCAUUAUUUCACUGGGGACCGGCUAUUAUCCUCUCCAUUUUCUUUAUAAGGAUAUUGAAAGAGAGAUUAAAUAACUUGUUCAAGGCCGCAUAGCUAGUUAACAGCUGAACUAGGCUUAAAACCAACGUCUGAAGGCUCCUAUUCCAGUGGCAGCUGCUGUGUGCUUCUUCUGUUUUCCAUCAGUUUGGAAGGGAGCAUAAAGUCUACAGCCACAUGGGUGGGGUCAGCAGAAAGAUUGACCACCAAGCCUGAGGCAGGUGAGGCUGAUCUCCUGGGCACAGCCUCUCUGCACAGGAGUUCACAGAAGUGAUAUGAUCCAAAGUUGCUGAGGGAAAAGCCCUUAUUUGUGGAAUUAACGGCAGGUCUCUCUUGAGGUCAGAAUGAAUGUUAUUGACAUUAUUGUUUGUAUUGUGGUAAGGUAUACAUAAUGGAAAAUGUACCAUUUUGGCUGGACAUGGUGGCUCACGCCUGUAAU
This 964-nucleotide long non-coding RNA is filed under the name Homo sapiens (human). RNAcentral describes it as "HSALNT0368576". Lineage: Eukaryota; Metazoa; Chordata; Mammalia; Primates; Hominidae. The record is from RNAcentral.